This 200-nucleotide ribosomal RNA is filed under the name uncultured organism. RNAcentral describes it as "partial small subunit ribosomal RNA". It matches the Rfam family "Bacterial small subunit ribosomal RNA", at positions 1182 to 1382 of the family's 1533-position model. The record is from RNAcentral.
ACGUCAAGUCCUCAUGGCCCUUACGGGCUGGGCUACACACGUGCUACAAUGGCGGUGACAGUGGGAUGCGAUGGCGCAAGCCGGAGCGAAUCUCCAAAAGCCGUCUCAGUUCGGAUUGCACUCUGCAACUCGGGUGCAUGAAGUUGGAAUCGCUAGUAAUCGCGGAUCAGCAUGCCGCGGUGAAUACGUUCCCGGGCCUU